This 301-nucleotide ribosomal RNA is filed under the name uncultured bacterium. RNAcentral's name for it is "partial 16S ribosomal RNA". It matches the Rfam family "Bacterial small subunit ribosomal RNA", at positions 510 to 809 of the family's 1533-position model. The record is from RNAcentral.
CACCGCCGCGGUAAAACGUAGGUGGCAAGCGUUGUCCGGAAUUAUUGGGCGUAAAGGGCUCGCAGGCGGUUUCUUAAGUCUGAUGUGAAAGCCCCCGGCUCAACCGGGGAGGGUCAUUGGAAACUGGGAAACUUGAGUGCAGAAGAGGAGAGUGGAAUUCCACGUGUAGCGGUGAAAUGCGUAGAGAUGUGGAGGAACACCAGUGGCGAAGGCGACUCUCUGGUCUGUAACUGACGCUGAGACGCGAAAGCCAGGGGAGCGAACGGGAUUAGAUACCCCAGUAGUCCCUGUCUCUUAUACA